Molecule: ribosomal RNA, 524 nt
Filed under: uncultured bacterium
Lineage: Bacteria
Description: bacterial SSU rRNA
Rfam family: Bacterial small subunit ribosomal RNA
Source: RNAcentral
GUAGGGUGCGAGCGUUAAUCGGAAUUACUGGGCGUAAAGCGUGCGCAGGCGGUUUUUGUAAGACAGAUGUGAAAUCCCCGGGCUUAACCUGGGAACUGCGUUUGUGACUGCAAGGCUAGAGUACGGCAGAGGGGGGGUGGAAUUCCUGGUGUAGCAGUGAAAUGCGUAGAGAUCAGGAGGAACACCGAUGGCGAAGGCAGCCCCCUGGGCCUGUACUGACGCUCAUGCACGAAAGCGUGGGGAGCAAACAGGAUUAGAUACCCUGGUAGUCCACGCCCUAAACGAUGUCGACUAGUCGUUCGGAGCAGCAAUGCACUGAGUGACGCAGCUAACGCGUGAAGUCGACCGCCUGGGGAGUACGGCCGCAAGGUUAAAACUCAAAGGAAUUGACGGGGACCCGCACAAGCGGUGGAUGAUGUGGAUUAAUUCGAUGCAACGCGAAAAACCUUACCUACCCUUGACAUGUCUGGAACCUUGCUGAGAGGCGAGGGUGCCUUCGGGAGCCAGAACACAGGUGCUGCUAG